Long non-coding RNA from Oncorhynchus keta (chum salmon), 2010 nucleotides. RefSeq lists it as uncharacterized. NCBI's taxonomy places the organism in Eukaryota, Metazoa, Chordata, Actinopteri, Salmoniformes, Salmonidae. The record is from RefSeq and is a predicted model, not a curated record. The transcript is spliced from 5 exons.
AUAUACUGUACAGAGGUUGGAACCAACCCCGUCUGAAUGACAGAUAUACUGUACAGAGGUUGGAACCAACCCCCUCUGAAUGACAGAUAUACUGUACAGAGGUUGGAACCAACCCCGUCUGAAUGACAGAUAUACUGUACAGAGGUUGGAACCAACCCCGUCUGAAUGACAGAUAUACUGUACAGAGGUUGGAACCAACCCCGUCUGAAUGACAGAUAUACUGUACAGAGGUUGGAACCAACCCCGUCUGAAUGACAGAUAUACUGUACAGAGGUUGGAACCAACCCCGUCUGAAUGACAGAUAUACUGUACAGAGGUUGGAACCAACCCCGUCUGAAUGACAGAUAUACUGUACAGAGGUUGGAACCAACCCCGUCUGAAUGACAGAUAUACUGUACAGAGGUUGGAACCAACCCCGUCUGAAUGACAGAUAUACUGUACAGAGGUUGGAACCAACCCCGUCUGAAUGACAGAUAUACUGUACAGAGGUUGGAACCAACCCCGUCUGAAUGACAGAUAUACUGUACAGAGGUUGGAACCAACCCCGUCUGAAUGACAGAUAUACUGUACAGAGGUUGGAACCAACCCCGUCUGAAUGACAGAUAUACUGUACAGAGGUUGGAACCAACCCCGUCUGAAUGACAGAUAUACUGUACAGAGGUUGGAACCAACCCCGUCUGAAUGACAGAUAUACUGUACAGAGGUUGGAACCAACCCCGUCUGAAUGACAGAUAUACUGUACAGAGGUUGGAACCAACCCCGUCUGAAUGACAGAUAUACUGUACAGAGGUUGGAACCAACCCCGUCUGAAUGACAGAUAUACUGUACAGAGGUUGGAACCAACCCCGUCUGAAUGACAGAUAUACUGUACAGAGGUUGGAACCAACCCCGUCUGAAUGACAGAUAUACUGUACAGAGGUUGGAGACACACUGGGCGCCUGUGGAGCGGUAGUUGUGUGGAGAUUUAGUGCCUUGCUCAAUGGCACGAUGGCAGGCAAUGGCAUUUAGGAUUUGAUACCAUCAAUCCUAUGGUUGCGAGCUCACUGCCCGACAGAUUUUUCCUGUCAGACCCGGGAUUUGAACUGGCAAUCCUCUGGUUGCUGGCCUUCCUCUUUUACUUCUAGGCUACCUGCCACUCCACACAACUAAAUGAUAAAAACACUAGUAUCACAUUCACUGGUCAGUAGCAUGGUGACUAUAUCAACUCUGCUUAUCACAACAUGACUAAGUAGAUAGACUAUAGUCAUAUGGAAUAUUCUUCACUGAACAUGCAAACAGCCUUCUGUAUACAAUGGCGGCAGCUCUGGCCAUCAUGCACCAACGUUAAUAUUUAUGACAGUUUUUUGCCUAUUGAGUCACCUCUCUCCUCUGUCUCCUGAUGUUCUCUCCUCUGUCUCCUGAUGUUCUCUCCUCUGUCUCCUGAUGUUCUCUCCUCUGUCUCCUGAUGUUCUCUCCUCUGUCUCCUGAUGUUCUCUCCUCUGUCUCCUGAUGUUCUCUCCUCUGUCUCCUGAUGUUCUCUCCUCUGUCUCCUGAUGUUGAGUCCUCUGUCUCCUGAUGUUCUCUCCUCUGUCUCCUGAUGUUCUCUCCUCUGUCUCCUGAUGUUCUCUCCUCUGUCUCCUGAUGUUCUCUCCUCUGUCUCCUGAUGUUCUCUCCUCUGUCUCCUGAUGUUCUCUCCUCUGUCUCCUGAUGUUCUCUCCUCUGUCUCCUGAUGUUCUCUCCUCUCUCUCCUGAUGUUGAGACCUCUCUCUCCUCUGUCUCCUGAUGUUCUCUCCUCUGUCUCCUGAUGUUCUCUCCUCUCUCUCCUGAUGUUGAGACCUCUCUCUCCUCUCUCUCCUGAUGUUGAGUCACCUGUCUCCUGAUGUUGAGACACCUCUCUCUCCUGUCUCCUGAUGUUGGGUCCUCUCUCCUCUGUCUCCUGAUGUUGAGUCCUCUGUCUCCUGAUGUUGAGACCUCUCUCUCCUCUGUCUCCUGAUGUUGGGUCCUCUCUCUCCUCUGUCUCCUGAUGUUGAG